Molecule: ribosomal RNA, 483 nt
Filed under: uncultured fungus
Lineage: Eukaryota; Fungi
Description: eukaryotic LSU rRNA
Rfam family: 5.8S ribosomal RNA (bases 147-298)
Source: RNAcentral
GGUGAACCUGCGGAGGGAUCAUUAACGAAUGGCCUUAAAGGCCUUCAACCUUGUAAACCUGUGGAAGCAAGAUGUGCUUUGGCGCCUUCGGGCGCCAACUUUAUGCCUAGRUCAGUCUYGACGUCUGAAUCAAAAACAAGAAAUAAAACUUUCAACAAAGGAUCUCUUGGCUCUCGCAUCGAUGAAGAACGCAGCGAAGCGCGAAAUGUAGUGUGAAUCGCAGAACAUUGUGAAUCAUCGAAUCUUUGAACGCACAUUGCGCCUCCAGUAACUUGGAGGCAUGCCUGUCUGAGCGUCAUUUAAAACCAUAGACCCUUCUGGGUUUGUAUUGGGCCUCGCCCUAGGGCGUAGCCUCGAAGCCAUCGGUCUUAUACGYGGACGAGCUCCAUUCGGACGGAACGUGUGUGGACCUURAUACAUCUGACUUGACCUCAGAUCAGGUAGGACUACCGCCUGAACUUAAGCAUAUCAAUAAGCGGAGGA